Molecule: ribosomal RNA, 577 nt
Filed under: Escovopsis diminuta
Lineage: Eukaryota; Fungi; Ascomycota; Sordariomycetes; Hypocreales; Hypocreaceae
Description: partial large subunit ribosomal RNA
Rfam family: Eukaryotic large subunit ribosomal RNA
Source: RNAcentral
AAAGAAACCAACAGGGAUUGCCCCAGUAACGGCGAGUGAAGCGGCAACAGCUCAAAUUUGAAAUCCGGCCCCCCGGGGCCCGAGUUGUAAUUUGUAGAGGAUGCUUCUGGCGAGGCGCCGCCUGAGUUCCCUGGAACGGGACGCCACAGAGGGUGAGAGCCCCGUCUGGCUGGACGCCGAGCCUGUGUGAAGCUCCUUCGACGAGUCGAGUAGUUUGGGAAUGCUGCUCAAAACGGGAGGUAUAUGUCUUCUAAAGCUAAAUAUUGGCCAGAGACCGAUAGCGCACAAGUAGAGUGAUCGAAAGAUGAAAAGCACUUUGAAAAGAGGGUUAAACAGUACGUGAAAUUGUUGAAAGGGAAGCGCUUGCGACCAGACUCGGCCGCGGCGGAUCACCCGGCGUUCUCGCCGGUGCACUCCGCCGCGGCCGGGCCAGCAUCGGUUCGCCCCGGGGGAGAAAGGCGUCGGGAAUGUGGCCCCUCCGGGGGUGUUAUAGCCCGGCGCGGAAUACCCUGGGCGCGGACCGAGGACCGCGCGUUUACGCAAGGAUGCUGGCGUAAUGGUCGCCAGCGACCCGUCU